Molecule: ribosomal RNA, 375 nt
Filed under: uncultured bacterium
Lineage: Bacteria
Description: bacterial SSU rRNA
Rfam family: Bacterial small subunit ribosomal RNA
Source: RNAcentral
UAAUACGUAGGUGACAAGCGUUGUCCGGAUUUACUGGGCGUAAAGAGCGCGCAGGCGGUCGUUCAAGUCGAGUGUGAAAGCCCCCGGCUCAACUGGGGAGGGUCACUCGAUACUGAUCGACUCGAAGGCAGGAGAGGGAAGUGGAAUUCCCGGUGUAGUGGUGAAAUGCGUAGAUAUCGGGAGGAACACCAGUGGCGAAGGCGACUUCCUGGCCUGUUCUUGACGCUGAGGCGCGAAAGCUAGGGGAGCAAACGGGAUUAGAUACCCCGGUAGUCCUAGCCGUAAACGAUGAGCACUAGGUCGUGGGCCUCCACAGGCCCUCGGCCGUAGCGAAAGUGUUAAGUGCUCCGCCUGGGGAGUAUGGUCGCAAGGCUG